AAACUGAAGAGUUUGAUCCUGGCUCAGAUUGAACGCUAGCGGGAUGCUUUACACAUGCAAGUCGAACGGCAGCACGAGAGAGCUUGCUCUCUUGGUGGCGAGUGGCGGACGGGUGAGUAAUAUAUCGGAACGUGCCCAGUAGCGGGGGAUAACUACUCGAAAGAGUGGCUAAUACCGCAUACGCCCUACGGGGGAAAGGGGGGGAUCGCAAGACCUCUCACUAUUGGAGCGGCCGAUAUCGGAUUAGCUAGUUGGUGGGGUAAAGGCUCACCAAGGCAACGAUCCGUAGCUGGUUUGAGAGGACGACCAGCCACACUGGGACUGAGACACGGCCCAGACUCCUACGGGAGGCAGCAGUGGGGAAUUUUGGACAAUGGGGGAAACCCUGAUCCAGCCAUCCCGCGUGUAUGAUGAAGGCCUUCGGGUUGUAAAGUACUUUUGGCAGAGAAGAAAAGGCAUCCCCUAAUACGGGAUGCUGCUGACGGUAUCUGCAGAAUAAGCACCGGCUAACUACGUGCCAGCAGCCGCGGUAAUACGUAGGGUGCAAGCGUUAAUCGGAAUUACUGGGCGUAAAGCGUGUGUAGGCGGUUCGGAAAGAAAGAUGUGAAAUCCCAGGGCUCAACCUUGGAACUGCAUUUUUAACUGCCGAGCUAGAGUAUGUCAGAGGGGGGUAGAAUUCCACGUGUAGCAGUGAAAUGCGUAGAUAUGUGGAGGAAUACCGAUGGCGAAGGCAGCCCCCUGGGAUAAUACUGACGCUCAGACACGAAAGCGUGGGGAGCAAACAGGAUUAGAUACCCUGGUAGUCCACGCCCUAAACGAUGUCAACUAGCUGUUGGGGCCGUUAGGCCUUAGUAGCGCAGCUAACGCGUGAAGUUGACCGCCUGGGGAGUACGGUCGCAAGAUUAAAACUCAAAGGAAUUGACGGGGACCCGCACAAGCGGUGGAUGAUGUGGAUUAAUUCGAUGCAACGCGAAAAACCUUACCUACCCUUGACAUGUCUGGAAUGCCGAAGAGAUUUGGCAGUGCUCGCAAGAGAACCGGAACACAGGUGCUGCAUGGCUGUCGUCAGCUCGUGUCGUGAGAUGUUGGGUUAAGUCCCGCAACGAGCGCAACCCUUGUCAUUAGUUGCUACGCAAGAGCACUCUAAUGAGACUGCCGGUGACAAACCGGAGGAAGGUGGGGAUGACGUCAAGUCCUCAUGGCCCUUAUGGGUAGGGCUUCACACGUCAUACAAUGGUCGGGACAGAGGGUCGCCAACCCGCGAGGGGGAGCCAAUCUCAGAAACCCGAUCGUAGUCCGGAUCGCAGUCUGCAACUCGACUGCGUGAAGUCGGAAUCGCUAGUAAUCGCGGAUCAGAAUGUCGCGGUGAAUACGUUCCCGGGUCUUGUACACACCGCCCGUCACACCAUGGGAGUGGGUUUCACCAGAAGUAGGUAGCCUAACCGUAAGGAGGGCGCUUACCACGGUGGGAUUCAUGACUGGGGUGAAGUCGUAACAAGGUAGCCGUAUCGGAAGGUGCGGCUGGAUCACCUCCUUU
Molecule: ribosomal RNA, 1537 nt
Filed under: Alcaligenes faecalis
Lineage: Bacteria; Pseudomonadati; Pseudomonadota; Betaproteobacteria; Burkholderiales; Alcaligenaceae
Description: bacterial SSU rRNA
Rfam family: Bacterial small subunit ribosomal RNA
Source: RNAcentral